CCUACGAGAGGCUGCAGUGGGGGAUUUUGCACAAUGGGGGAAACCCUGAUGCAGCGACGCCGCGUGAGUGAAGAAGUAUUUCGGUAUGUAAAGCUCUAUCAGCAGGGAAGAAAAUGACAGUACCUGACCAAGAAGCCCCGGCUAACUACGUGCCAGCAGCAGCGGUAAUACGUAGGGGGCAAGCGUUAUCCGGAUUUACUGGGUGUAAAGGGAGCGUAGACGGCAGCACAAUACUGGAGUGAAAUGCCGGGGCUUAACCCCGGAACUGCUUUGGAAACUGUGCAGCUAGAGUGCAGGAGAGGUAAGUGGAAUUCCUAGUGUAGCGGUGAAAUGCGUAGAUAUUAGGAGGAACACCAGUGGCGAAGGCGGCUUACUGGACUGUAACUGACGUUGAGGCUCGAAGGCGUGGGGAGCAAACAGGAUUAGAUACCCCAGUAGUC
Molecule: ribosomal RNA, 440 nt
Filed under: uncultured bacterium
Lineage: Bacteria
Description: partial 16S ribosomal RNA
Rfam family: Bacterial small subunit ribosomal RNA
Source: RNAcentral